This 354-nucleotide long non-coding RNA is filed under the name Scleropages formosus (Asian bonytongue). Its description in RNAcentral is "lncRNA (ENSSFOG00015028339.1)". The record is from RNAcentral. Lineage: Eukaryota; Metazoa; Chordata; Actinopteri; Osteoglossiformes; Osteoglossidae.
CCCGAGGCUACUGGAUCAAAGCCCACUCGCUGUACUGCCGUUGUCCUUUAUUUGUGUUAGCCCGUUUGCUUAUUAACAAAAACCAGAUGGAGAAAAUGGAUUCAGAACUCUUCGGUGUUAAAACUGGGCGGAACCGGACCGAGGCGUUGACCUGACCAGACCCCUGCUGAGAAAGCGCUUACACUGGCAUCCUCCUUCUGCCCAAGGAUGUGAAGCUGAAUGAAAGUCUGUUCUUAUCAUUCUACACUGCUGAAGAGGUAAGUUGAUGACAACCUUUUUUUUCCUUUCUUUUUUUUUUUUUAUAUAGAAAUGCAAUAGACGAAGCUAAUAAAAUCCCUCCACUCGCUCGUUCCA